AAAAUGCGAUACGUAAUGAGAAUUGCAGAAUUCAGUGAAUCAUCAAAUCUUUGAACGCAAAUUGCGCUCUCGGGAUAGGCCUGGGAGCACGCCUCUUUGAGUAUCGUUUCAACCACAACUCGAAAGCGUGCUUUAUUGCAUCGCUGACGGAGAAUGAGCGCUCUCGUGUCUUCGAGACGCUUGAAAUUGAGCGAGUGACUUGACAACUGUUAUUAGGACAGCUGCUUGUCAGUGGUGACGAGGAUAACUUCACAUUCAGUUGUGAACCUUUCCAUCGUGACUGUCUGACCAGUGCAGUCUGAAUCGGUUGUCGACCGGUCACGGCCUGUCUGUGGAACAUCUCCUACGAUUUUCGCAGAACUUUCUUUUGAACUAGAUCUCAAAUGAAGCGAGAAAACCC
This 400-nucleotide unclassified non-coding RNA is filed under the name uncultured fungus. Its description in RNAcentral is "sequence contains ITS1". The stretch from base 1 to 106 matches the Rfam family "5.8S ribosomal RNA", at positions 50 to 154 of the family's 154-position model. The record is from RNAcentral. Lineage: Eukaryota; Fungi.